Long non-coding RNA from Pipra filicauda (Wire-tailed manakin), 2725 nucleotides. RefSeq lists it as uncharacterized. NCBI's taxonomy places the organism in Eukaryota, Metazoa, Chordata, Aves, Passeriformes, Pipridae. The record is from RefSeq and is a predicted model, not a curated record. The transcript has 9 exons.
GAAAGAGAGGAAAAGAUAUCAGCAAACCCUUGGAAGCUUUGUCUGCAGUCUGAAAGCCAAAGCUCUGCUUUUUCUGGUUUAUGCCUCAUCAGUCAUGAAGAUUUUGCAGUGAGAGCUGAGUUGAUGCCAAUGCUGAUGGAGAACCCGAGCAGGAGGUGCUACAAGACAGAAGGAUGCAAGAAUUCUGGCAAGAUCCAUGAGAAAAAGGUAAUAACAUCUUUUCUGAACAAUAUGGGACUUUAUGCACUUUUUUGGCCUCGACUCAGGACAACAGUGGAAACUCAAGAGUAGAUGUCUGUCCACAUGGUUGGCUGAAAAUUCAGCUUUGUGAUGCACGUGAUGUCUCCCCUCUGCCAGCCUGACAAACCUUGGAGAGGAGAUGAUCACUUUGCCUCCAGGUGUUGCUUUCUCAUUGCUCCUGUGCAAAAAGCUGAAUACACGGGGGCAGAACAGCAGUGUGAUGCCGAGAGCCUCAGGAGGAAGGUUGUUUUGCUUGGAAUUUAUUCACCAGAAAGGUCAACUCCAGACACAACAUCUGUUUUCCACUGUGAUUCUGAUUUCACUACAUAAUUUGGAAGAAGCUUGGACAAGGUGAGAAAACAGCUAGCUGGAAGGAGAACCAUUAUGGAAUAGGACGUUUACAGUUAUUAAGCUGGAGAAUAAAUCCUUCAGUAAGAGAAGGAUACAAAGUGCUGCUGCUGCUCUGGCCUGGUUCUAAUGACCCUUUCUGCAGUUGCUGGUAAAAUUCAUGGAUCAAGACCUUUUGGAAAAUCACAGGUUUUUUCAUGCAGGACUUGACCCAAACCUAAUUACAAUCGAUUACUCCAUCUGCUAUUUAAGUUAAAAUGAGUACUGGAAAGAAGAUAUCAGACAAAAGGAUGUGAGAAAAUUUCAGCUAAGAAGAAAUUUUGGAACUCUGUGGUUCGGAAAUGUCUGCUUACCAGCACUUCAUUAUUGCUGGCAACAUUUUCACAUCUUAGGCGUGUGAACCCCUUUUUAAAUGUGUAUUCCCUGAACAGUGGAUUUUGAAAGCCUGUCAGAAAAAUCAACCCUUUUAACAGCAUUUAAAUCUGUACUCAGCCUUUAAUAUUACUGAAAUCUCUGUGGGACUUAAACUUAUCCUUAAAUGCUGCCCCUAGGAGAAAUUUUCCUGAGGAACUAAUUUUCUGAAACAUGGCCUAUAAAUGUGCCGAAAAACAGCAAAGCGUCUUUGUCUUCCCAUUUCCCGACCCUCAGACCAAUUAUAAAAACAUUGAUUUUUAAAAGUUCUUCCAAACGAGCUCUUUUCCUGUCAGAGCGUGUCACACGUGUCAGUCACAUUUCAAGCCACGGAUUUGAAAACCGACCUGCAGAAGCAGCCACCUUUGUCAUAAAUUUAACUUGACAGCUUCUCUGCAGGGUUUUCAAUUAGGAUCUUUUUUUUUAAUGAAAAAAGAAAAGAAGAAUGAAAUGUCAGCCCAAAUGCACUGAGCAAAUGCUGCUGUAUGGGAGGCCUACAUGUACUGUUUUCUUCUUCAGACUCCAGGAUGAUCAGGAACAUAAAAUGCCAAGUUUGGGAUGAAAAGAACUUUAAAAACUCUCAUUUCGGGCACAUAAAAUAGCUGGUUUUGCUAUCUGAGGGGCCAGGCGGCUCUGAGGGCCUGGUUGGCUUCGCUGAGGGCUGAGGGCCGGAGGCUGAGGGGUGGAUCUGUGACACUGUCCGUAAUCCCAGGUUUUUCAUUUAAGACUCAGUACUCCUGAUGGAGGAAGUUUAAAAAAAAAAUCAUAAUUCAGUGCUGGUUGCCAGAAGCUCGGAUUCUGAGGCGGCAGGAGCUGGUGUGCCUGGAAAAAGGUGAAACUCAGGCUGGGUAAAAGGUGCCUUUGCCUCACAGUGUCCAUUUGAUAAUUGUAUGGGCUUGUGGGAGCUGCAGUCCCUGGAAGCUCUCCUCCCACAGCUGCCUCCCAGGGAAACCAAAUACCUAUGGAUUUGGGGAAUCCCAGAAGUCUGUGAUUCUGUGAAAACCCUGGCUAGUUUUUAAGUCAAAAGAGAGCCCGUCUGACCCUGCCUCAGGAUUGCCGCCAUGAUAGGACGUGUCAGCUGUGGUAAAUGCUACAGUCCCGGCUCCAGAACUCCGGAAAGUUUCCUCACGAACUGUGGAGAGAAAAUGUGUAUAGCUCAAAAAGUGGUAAAACUACCCUUGAAGUAGUCAUUAAAUGUGAAUUGAUUAAAUGAUUUCUGCCUGAAUCGUCAGCAAGUAUUAAGCACAAAGAGUGUGUGUAUGUGAGGAGGAGGCAGGAGCCCCACGUCCAGGCCAGUUCCUGAAAUCACACUGACUUUAUCACUGGAACAUGACUGGAAAACUGAUAAAAACACUUUGGAGAGACACAAGGGAUGAAUGUGCAAAGGAGGCCAUGUAACAUCCCACACAGACUGUCUUCGAAUAUGUCCCACACCAACAUUCCUCAUCCACUGCCUCUGGGUCUUCUGUUGAAGCUGUAACUGUGACACCAUAACAAGGAAGACAUCAAAGGAUCCAAGUCUCAAGGAGGACUUCUAAAAGCACCAAGGCACCUACUUUUGUGACUCUUCACAUCUUUCAGGUUUGCAAGGUACUUUUUGGACAAGCAGAAGAGUAAAGACUUGAUGAAGUCAGGCAGUAAAAGGAGAGGGAAUGAAGGCAGAACUGGAGGAGAAGUGAUAAACCCACGUGAAGAAACCAUCUACACAAAACAGCCCUGCACAUAC